UAUUUUAAUUAAAAAUCAAUAAUUUAAUAUUUAUAAAAUGCUACUUUUCCAUCUUGCAACACCGCCAACACUGGACAUUAGUUCCACGAGUAGCCGCUGUCGCAAGUAUCAAGAAGAACUGUCAAAUUUUUAAAAAAGUUUCACUGUUAGCUGAACCUCCAAAUAAAUAAGUUCCAAGUGGUCGGUGGCUUUUUGAACAAAAAAAGGAAUCACCUUUUAGUUAUUUUUUUUAUACGGAAGCUAUCGUAAUUAAGUUGAAGGAGGAGAAAGUUUUGUUUUGUUGAAGAAGAAAAGUAUUAAUUUGGUAAAAAUUUGGGAUGAUUGCUAUCGGCCACUUGGAACCACUUAAAUGUUCAUCCCACUAACAUCAGGGAUGAAAUGAAAUAAAAAACUUUAGCAGCAGUCACGGGGUAGCCUAGGAGCUGGAAUCGUCUUUUGAGUUGGUUUUUGGACUAUCAUUAUUUUGUUUGGAACUUUGGAAAAGACUUUACGUUAGUUGGUGUUGGACAGUGAUUAAG
Molecule: long non-coding RNA, 518 nt
Organism: Diabrotica virgifera virgifera (western corn rootworm)
Lineage: Eukaryota; Metazoa; Arthropoda; Insecta; Coleoptera; Chrysomelidae
Exons: 2
Source: RefSeq, a predicted model, not a curated record